Molecule: ribosomal RNA, 907 nt
Filed under: Aureobasidium pullulans
Lineage: Eukaryota; Fungi; Ascomycota; Dothideomycetes; Dothideales; Saccotheciaceae
Description: partial large subunit ribosomal RNA
Rfam family: Eukaryotic large subunit ribosomal RNA
Source: RNAcentral
GCAUAUCAAUAAGCGGAGGAAAAGAAACCAACAGGGAUUGCCCUAGUAACGGCGAGUGAAGCGGCAACAGCUCAAAUUUGAAAGCUAGCCUUCGGGUUCGCAUUGUAAUUUGUAGAGGAUGAUUUGGGGAAGCCGCCUGUCUAAGUUCCUUGGAACAGGACGUCAUAGAGGGUGAGAAUCCCGUAUGUGACAGGAAAUGGCACCCUAUGUAAAUCUCCUUCGACGAGUCGAGUUGUUUGGGAAUGCAGCUCUAAAUGGGAGGUAAAUUUCUUCUAAAGCUAAAUAUUGGCGAGAGACCGAUAGCGCACAAGUAGAGUGAUCGAAAGAUGAAAAGCACUUUGGAAAGAGAGUUAAAAAGCACGUGAAAUUGUUGAAAGGGAAGCGCUUGCAAUCAGACUUGUUUAAACUGUUCGGCCGGUCUUCUGACCGGUUUACUCAGUUUGGACAGGCCAGCAUCAGUUUCGGCGGCCGGAUAAAGGCUCUGGGAAUGUGGCCUCCACUUCGGUGGAGGUGUUAUAGCCCAGGGUGUAAUACGGCCAGCCGGGACUGAGGUCCGCGCUUCGGCUAGGAUGCUGGCGUAAUGGUUGUAAGCGACCCGUCUUGAAACACGGACCAAGGAGUCUAACAUCUAUGCGAGUGUUCGGGUGUCAAACCCCUGCGCGUAAUGAAAGUGAACGGAGGUGGGAACCCGCAAGGGUGCACCAUCGACCGAUCCUGAUGUCUUCGGAUGGAUUUGAGUAAGAGCAUAGCUGUUGGGACCCGAAAGAUGGUGAACUAUGCCUGAAUAGGGUGAAGCCAGAGGAAACUCUGGUGGAGGCUCGCAGCGGUUCUGACGUGCAAAUCGAUCGUCAAAUUUGGGUAUAGGGGCGAAAGACUAAUCGAACCAUCUAGUAGCUGGUUCCUGCCG